CAGUCGGAUUUUAGUGGAAGUUUUGAGGAGGAGCUACCUAAGCCUUAUGGUGCCUGGAUUCUCACUGCCAAAAAUCUGACAGAAGUGAUUGAGACUGGCCAACUACGUGCAAGAGUUGAGGAGUUACCUAUGCUCAGCAUUGAUGGCCUCCAAGGGUACAAGUCUCAGCACCUUGCCCAUCUGGUGCUGGGGUACAUCACCAUGGCAUAUGUGUGGAAUCGAG
Molecule: long non-coding RNA, 223 nt
Organism: Manis pentadactyla (Chinese pangolin)
Lineage: Eukaryota; Metazoa; Chordata; Mammalia; Pholidota; Manidae
Exons: 3
Source: RefSeq, a predicted model, not a curated record